CUCCUUGGUUUCUGAAGGACUCCCCUCCAACCUGUCUGUAGGUAUGUUUGUGUAACCAGACACUGAGAGUAGCUGUCUGCCGAGGAAUUAACUCGGCAACCCCCAAAGCUUAGUUUGCAUUCAAUAGAGGUGUUUGUUUUUCAGGUUUAAAUCUCCAGACGGGUUGAAGAAGUCGCCCAAAAGGAACCACUUCGCAAAUUUUGUUUCCUCCCUUGAAAUCCCGCUGGACGUGGAGCAGAUCUUCACUUGAAGACAGCGAAGGACAAUUUGUGGAAGUUCC
RNAcentral lists this long non-coding RNA (280 nucleotides) under Cyanistes caeruleus (blue tit). RNAcentral's name for it is "lncRNA (ENSCCEG00000010986.1)". The record is from RNAcentral. Lineage: Eukaryota; Metazoa; Chordata; Aves; Passeriformes; Paridae.